Molecule: long non-coding RNA, 2078 nt
Filed under: Struthio camelus australis
Lineage: Eukaryota; Metazoa; Chordata; Aves; Struthioniformes; Struthionidae
Description: lncRNA (ENSSCUG00000011113.1)
Source: RNAcentral
UGUAGCUCUAUAUACUGUACCUUUGGGUUUUUUUGUUCCUCUUCACCUCUGUUAUUAUAUAUAUUUUAUUAGUUAAACUUUCAGGACACUUUCUAAAUGUGUAGUAUCAUAUUUUUCUUUAGAACUUAAAAGGUUCAUUUACAGUAUUUUUGUUUGUAUGGGACCCCUGCGACCCUGGUGACCGAAAAAUACAGCAUGUAAUUACAAUUUGUAUCAGAGUGCACACGCACAAGGAGUUGAAUUCACAUUGUAUGUGAAACUUUCUGACACUUCCAAACGUCUGAGUGAUGUUCCUGUAACCUUAUCAUUUUCAAAUAAGUGUUCCAAUAUAAAACAGGCAAUGCAAAGUUUAGUUUAGACUAGUUCGACUUUUCUGGGGGAGCUGUGAUAGCCGGGAAGUGCCUUCUGGAACCUGUUCCACUUGUUAGCUGCUAUUUGCAUUCCUGUAAUUCUUUCAGUGCAAACAAUCCCCCCAGCACCGCCCCCAUGAAGUUCACAGUGGUAGAAAUCAUCUACCAAAAGGCUCAAACCUUUUAAGGCAGAGACAAGAGGCUAAUCCUCUGUUCCCACAUUUGCAUUGCCAAGUAAAGUAAGCAGCUCACCUAAAGUCUAGGGAAAAAGUCCUUUCCCAGGUAGAAGCCUUUCCCAGUCUAUUAAAUGUAACUGAGUGCACAACGAGGAAUCUGCUAAUCUGCUCUCCUUUAGGUUGUAUGUUGUAAUGAUUGCCUUGUUGGGUUUUUAGUAUCAUUAUUAUUUAUUUCAUUUUUUUAACACAGAUGUGUCAUCGGCCUCUGCUACUCAGUCCCUGAGCUGAAGUAUCUGUAGACUGCUUUCUAUCUGGUCCUUUGCUUUUCAAAUCCUCCCUGGGUGUUUAGAUGCAGGAGUGAAAGCUCCCUCUGGAGCAGUAGUCAGUGUCCUUGAAGCCGUCAGUGAGGAUUUCUCUGGACAUCGCAAGGCUCACAGAGACGGGCAUGUGGAAUCUUGGGCUAGGUGCAAAAAGAGCUGCAUAGGAAAAGGGUGCAAGGCCAUUUACAAGGUAAUGACCAUGUUUUUCUGCUUUCCAGUGAAUAACCUCUAAGUAGUCUCAUGUUGUUAGUAUUCUACUGGUAACAAGUUACCUACGCUAUUCCUGAUUUGGAUGAUGUUGCUCUCUUAAACAUCUUUCUCUAUACACACACACGGUUGUGCACGCAUGCGCGCGCGCGCGCACACACACACGCCCCUACUAAAAAUUUUCUGUUGAGAUCCCUGACAGCUAAGAAGUGUUAGAGACACCGCUGUGUGAACAUUAAAGAAAAACCUAUUCCAUGUCUCUUAUGAGACAACUGAAUAUAAAGCCUAUCAAUGCCUGAUAACAUGUGCUCUGAGCAACCAGUGCAGUGGAUGCUACAUCCUGAAAUACUUCAUGGUUGCUUUUAUUCCAUAGCUAGAAAGAAUUAGAGAAAAUUCUGAACAUCAUACUGUUGAGUACAUUUUUAUUUAUAAAAAGCCAUUGAAUUAUUAAAGUAGAAAAGAGUAAGAUGUUUCCCAUCACAGACUUUGCACGUCCAUCUUUUCAGUUAUCGUUCAGGAUUUUAUCUGACAUUUGAGUCGGAAAAAAGCACAAAAAUGAAUAUCGUGUUUGCUGUAUACACAGUCUUUAAUCAGUUUACACAUACUACACAUAUAACUGAAAGGAAUUGAAACAAUGAGAAAAGUAAGGAGUUGUUGGUUUCUUUUUCCUUCUAAACUGUAGUCUCCCUUCUCUUCUAGUAAAUGUUACUAAACAGUGUCUAUAGUGUCCUAAAGUUUCCCCUUUUGGAAGCUGUCUCAGGCUUGUGAAGGGGCUUCCUAGAAGCUUGAGUCUGAGGCUGAAAUUCAGAAGUUUGGCAUGUACCCUACAAAGCAGGCUUUGAAAAAAGCCUUUGCAACAAAGACUGAUCUCUGUAGCUUCAGAAAAUAUUGAAACUCCUAGCAACUCCUGUUCAUUUAGGUCUAGCUUUGAUAGGUAGUAACCCAGGCACCCUUGUAGUUUUAUCUUUGUUCAAAUAUGCAUUUUUAUGGGUAUAUUGCUCAUUGUUGCCUAUUGGUUGAAAUAU